Non-coding RNA from Meleagris gallopavo (turkey), 648 nucleotides. Lineage: Eukaryota; Metazoa; Chordata; Aves; Galliformes; Phasianidae. The record is from RefSeq and is a predicted model, not a curated record.
GCCAGCCACUGCAGAGAGCGUAUUUCUUGAACCUGGGCUGUUUCAUGGGGGAGUGCUGCGUUGCCAGAGAGCCCCUUCAUCAGCUGGGAAAACAGCAACGCUGACGCCUGGAUCGCAUCUCCUUUAAGUGUUAGAUUUAUCCACUCUGGUUCUGGUGAGGAAAGCAAGAGGCACAAAAACAAGACAGGCUGGCAUACAGGUUCUUGGAAAGGAAAACUCAAACAGAUGCGCUGCCAAAGAACUGAUGAGGAGAAGAAUAUGCUUUGCCUACGGUUCAGUGGUUCAGUUUCAAAUACAUAAAUUAAAUAUUGAGUGUAGCCGGGAAAGAAGAAUAGCGUCACUUUGUGAGACAGUCCACAGACCCACUAAAGCUCAGCUGCUCAAUAAAGAGUAAAUCAGGAAUAAAACGGAGAAGGAAGAAAGCUGCAAUCUUCUUGGAGAAAUAAGGCAAAUGCUAUUGAUUAAAAUGUAAUAAAAUCUGAUGAGCACCUUAGGCCAUAGUUAGAAUUAAAACCAGUUGUGCACAUUACUCAAAGAAUCAAAAUUACUUUCUUGCCCUUUCCGCCUCUGAAUAGCUCAUGCUACUCAAACCAGCUGGUGUGUCCCAAGUAAAGGGCAGACAAAACUGCAGUGGACUUUUCAAAACUA